This 1813-nucleotide non-coding RNA is filed under the name Pongo abelii (Sumatran orangutan). Lineage: Eukaryota; Metazoa; Chordata; Mammalia; Primates; Hominidae. The record is from RNAcentral.
GUCGCUCACGAGGUCACGCCUCGCACCCGCCUUCCUCCUUUUCUUUCACCCUCCCCUUUAGAAAAAACGGCGGUUGGGCUGCGACGGCCGCCAAAAGCGGACUAGAAGCGGAGGGGUGAAAAGCCCGGGAGAGAGGGAAGAAGGGAUUGCAGGAGGGAGGAGGAGGAGGAGAAGGAGGAAGGGAGCCCGCCCAGCCGGAGCCAUCUCCGUCGAGAACAAAAUGGCGGCGCUGGCGGAGGGCCAACUGUGAGGCGGGGCCGCGGCCAUUCCCCCUCCGCCCCCACCCUUGCGCCGGCCGGGCCGGUCAGGGGGAACCCGCUCGCUUCGCCCGGCCGCGGGCGGGGAGGGGAGGGGAGCGGCCCGGCCCACUAUGCAAAGCGCCGGGCGCCGCCGCCGCCACCCCGUGGCAAAGAAUAUGCUUUUUGUCUAAUGAUGUUAGAUAAAAAGCAAAUUGGAGCAGUUUUCUUAUUCGAGUUCAAAAUGGGUCAUAAAGCAGCGAAGACAACUCAAAACAUCAGUAACACAUUUGGCCCAGGAACUGCUAACAAACAUACAGUGCAGUGGUGGCUUAAGAAGUUUUGCAAAGAAGAGAGCCUUGAAGGUGAGGAACGUGAUAUGGGCUAUGGGAAGUUGACAACGACCAAUUGAGAGCAAUCAUUGAACUACAUGAAAAAUUACAGAAGAACUCAGCGUUGACUAUUCUACGGUCAUUAGGGUCGUUCAGCAUUUGAAGCAAAUUGGAAAAACUAUCAUUUUGAAGUGUAGUCUUCUUUUAUCCUAUGCAACAACAAACCAUUUCUCAAUCGGAUUGUGACAUGUAAUGAAAAGUGGAUUUUAUACAACAACCAGCUCAGUGGUUGGACCAAGAGGCAGCUCCAUAGCAGUUCCCAAAGCCAAACUUGCACCAAAAAAAGGUCACGGUCACUGUUUGGUGGUCUGCUGCCCAUCUGAUCCACUACAGUUUUCUGAAUCCUGGCGAAACCAUUACAUCUGAGAAGUAUGCUCAGCAAAUUGAUAAGAUGCACCAAAAACUGCAAUGCCUGCAGCCGGCAUUGGUCAACAGAAAGGGCCCAAUUCUUCUCCACGACAACACCUGACUGCAUGUCGCACAACCAGGGCUUCAAAAGUUGAAGGAAUUGGGCUACGAAGUUUUGCCUCAUCCAUCAUAUUCACCUGACCUUUCGCCAACUGACUACCACUUCUAGCAUCUUGACAACUUUUUGCAGGGAAAACACUUCAGCGGGAUGCAGAAAAUGCUUUCCAAGAGUUCGUCAAAUCCUGAAGCACGGAUUUUUAUGCUACAGGAAUAAACAUUUCUCAUUAGCAAAAAUGUGUUGAUUGUAAUGGUUCCCGUUUUGAUUAAUAUAAUGUGUUUUAGCUAGUUACAAUGAUUUAAAAUUUGCAGUCUGGAAAUUUAACUUUUGCUCCAACUUAAUAUUUCUAUGGUAAAUCCUUGCAAACAUGGAAACAAUGCAUUUGGCCCAGUGCUUUGUGGUUAUGUACUCUUUUUCUUUUUUUUUAAUAGAUGGCAUUGGCCGGGCAUGGUGGCUCAUGCCUGUAAUCCCAGCACUUUGGGAGGGUGAGGUGGAUGGAUCACCUGAGGUCAGGAGUUCAAGAACAGCCUGGCCAACAUGGUAAAACCCCGUCUCUACUAAAAACACAAAAAAAUUAGCUAGGCGUGGUGGCGGGCAUUUAAUUCCAGCUACUUAAUGAGGCUGCGACAGGAGAAUCAUUUGAACCCGGGAGGCGGAGGUUGCAGUGAGCCGAGAUCACGCCAUUGCACUCCAGCCUGGGCAAUGAGUGAAACUCUAUC